This is a long non-coding RNA of Dama dama (fallow deer), 2703 nucleotides long. RefSeq lists it as uncharacterized. The transcript has 4 exons. The record is from RefSeq and is a predicted model, not a curated record. NCBI's taxonomy places the organism in Eukaryota, Metazoa, Chordata, Mammalia, Artiodactyla, Cervidae.
AAUUUCCCCUUGAAAAGUCGCUCAGGAGGGCACAGGACAAGCCCGCAUUAUAACACUUGUACCCUUGCCUUGUACACAUGCGUGCUAAGUCGCUUCAGUCGUGUCUGACUCUUUGUGACCCUAUGGAUUGCAGCCCACCAGGCUCUUCUGUCCAUGGGAUUCUCCAGGCAAGAAUCCUGGAGUGGGGUGCCAUGGUGCCAGUCUUAGCACAACAAGGCUUAAGAGCAUGCUUCACUCUGCACGCGGUGGGUGUGGUGAACGGGUGCUCACUCUCCUUUACAUCCUUGUUCUGCUCUUCCUUCCUGAAUCGCAGGGGAGGAAAGGCUGCAAAGGACCUCGCGCGACCUUUGGCGGCCCUGGUCUGCAAGAUGUCAUCUUAUGGGGUGUGGGAGGGAAGAGGGCUGUGGCUCUGCUUGCCCCUGUCCAGGGUGGAGGUGUUUGAUUGCUCUUGGUAAUGCAGUGUCUGGUCACAUCUAGAGGGGAGGGAAGGCGUCACUUUUCUGGAGCGGAACCCGGCAGCCCGGGGGGCUGGCAGAGGUGGCAGUGGUAGUCACUCCCUGAUUCCAGCCCGGUUCUGGAACCAGUUUUCCUGGCACCGAGAGGCAAGGGCUCCACGUCUGCACUGCAGUUUUCAAGUCCGUCCAAAACUCUCUACCUAGAAUCUGUCCUCAGUUCCACUGCAAUUAUGUCAUAGUCCCUAAUAAGUUGUUUCCCACAUAAACCAGCCACAGUGUGGGCCCUGUUCUCUGCCAAAGAACCCCAAGACACCCCCACUCUGGACUGGGGUGUGGAAGACAAACACCAGGGCUCUCCCCAGGGGGCCUAGUUUUCUUGACAACACUCACUCGUAAUGUGAGAUAACACGGGCCUUUGCCACACAUUUAGGAAUGCCUUUAAGAUCAAAUCAACAACUAACUCACACUAUAAUUUUUUUUUUCACAUGGAAUAUAUAUACCAAAUUUCAAUUGAGAAACAACACUGGAAAGAUCAACAGUGGCCUGAAAAUAAUGGAAAGAGAGAAGAGAGUAUAGGACUCUGGGACAGAAGCCAGUCUCCUCUGCAUAAACCUUGUUCUGUAGAUUCUACUUUGGAAGCAUAUAAAUGUUCCACAUAAUUAUUUAAAAAUUGAACCAAAAUGAGGAAAAAAUAGAAAUCCCUAAAAAGUCAAAUGCAAAAUCAGACAGAUGUACCUAAUUUUGUAUCAUCUUGGUGGCUUACCCAAGCAGGCAGGGAUAAUCAAAGAUCACUUUAAACGCUGCGAUUUUACUGCAUGCACUCAGGGGUACACUGCAAAGGAGAGGGGAAAGAAGCGAAUCAAGUCUGAAUCUAUUUUCGGUAUUCAUAUUCCUAGUGACGGUAUCGCUGUUGUCAUUCUGAAACUGUGAGCUAAAGCAAGUUAUUAUGUUUGCAUCUUUGGGAGUCGAGAUUUCCAGCCUAAAAGAAGAGAGAUACAAAUAUAGAAUGAAAGAAGUAAGAGCGUGUCUUGCUAAAUUUGCUGGAAAUAUCAGUAUGAGCUCACUUUGUACUUCCUCUUACAUCAUGCAUCUGCUGACCCUGACCAUUGAAAAGACACAGACGCAUUGAGCGACCCAGGGGCAGUGAGCACCCCUGGCGUCCAGUUUAUGGUCUCUCCUGGAAGAAAUAGCUGAACUAAGGGCUGGAGCAAGACUUGGACAAGCAUAAAAGGUGAGCAUGAAACCCCAUCUGGCUGGACUCCAUCAUGUGCCUGGGGGCCCUGAGAGUGGGUAGGUUCCCCCGAAAGAGACACUGGACCCAUGAGGAAGGCGUGUACAAUGCGGGGUGCAGCGGCACCAUGGAUGAAGGUUGGGGCCAGGCUCUCCAGAGUCUCAGAAGACCAGUUACCAAGAUCUGCUGACUUUUCCUUCCUCCUCUUCAAAGAGGCCCUCACACCUGACUCCGAGGAGAUGCUAUCUGAACUCUGGAUAUAGAGGAAAAUUGAUGAAGAGCAAGGUGAAGGAGGAGGAGAGAAGAUGAUAAAGAUGCUGGUUAUGUCAAUUAAGAAAGAAAACAAAGCAAGAACAGAAGCCAGCCUGCCAGCUCUUGUUGCUGGGGUGGGUAGAGAAUGGUCCAGCUGCCCUCCCCACGUCCUCCCCUGACUCCUCUGCUGUGUGUUUUGAGACACUGAGACCCCCAGCCUAUAAGCAACUAUAUUCCAUAUACUCAAGCAGGAAAGUGGUUCUAAGUUAUGGAAUGAAGAACUGGGUCUCUUUCUCCUUUUGUGAAGGCAUGAGUGUGUGUGCUUAGUCACUCAGUUAUGUCCGACUCUGCAACCUCAUGGACUGUAGCCCACCAAUCACCUACCCCAAUAAACUGCACCCAUUUUGAAUUUAAAAUGUGAUGCCUUUUGACGAAUGUGGAACCACCUCUUCAGUGCAAACAUUUCCAUCACUCUGGAAAUUCCCUUAUGCCCCUUGCAGUCAAUCACCUCUUCCUCCCCAGCCACCAGCACCCACAGAUCUAAUUUAUGUGCCUGUUUUGCUUUUUCCAGAAAGUCAUAAAAACGAGGUUGUACAGGACAUAGCCCUUUGUGUCUGGCUUUUUACACUUAGAACACUGCCUUUUAGAGCCAUCCACAAUGCAUGCAUGCUGAGUAUUCUGUCAUAUGGAGACACUAUAGUCUGUUCAUCCAUCUAUCAGCUGAUGGACGUGGGGGUUGUAUCUGGCUUUUGGUGAUAUGAAUAA